Molecule: ribosomal RNA, 471 nt
Filed under: uncultured organism
Description: partial 16S ribosomal RNA
Rfam family: Bacterial small subunit ribosomal RNA
Source: RNAcentral
ACACUCCUGCGGGAGGCAGCAGUGGGGAAUUUUGGACAAUGGGCGAAAGCCUGAUCCAGCCAUGCCGCGUGCAGGAUGAAGGCCUUCGGGUUGUAAACUGCUUUUGUACGGAACGUAACGGCCUUUUCUAAUAAAGAGGGCUAAUGACGGUACCGUAAGAAUAAGCACCGGCUAACUACGUGCCAGCAGCCGCGGUAAUACGUAGGGUGCAAGCGUUAAUCGGAAUUACUGGGCGUAAAGCGUGCGCAGGCGGUUAUGUAAGACAGUUGUGAAAUCCCCGGGCUCAACCUGGGAACUGCAUCUGUGACUGCAUAGCUAGAGUACGGUAGAGGGGGAUGGAAUUCCGCGUGUAGCAGUGAAAUGCGUAGAUAUGCGGAGGAACACCGAUGGCGAAGGCAAUCCCCUGGACCUGUACUGACGCUCAUGCACGAAAGCGUGGGGAGCAAACAGGAUUAGAAACCCGUGUAGUCC